RNAcentral lists this ribosomal RNA (340 nucleotides) under uncultured bacterium. RNAcentral describes it as "bacterial SSU rRNA". It matches the Rfam family "Bacterial small subunit ribosomal RNA", at positions 328 to 670 of the family's 1533-position model. The record is from RNAcentral.
AAAACAAACCUACGGGAGGCAGCAGUGAGGAAUAUUGGUCAAUGGGAGCAAUCCUGAACCAGCAAUGCCGCGUGUGGGAUGAAGGGGCUCUGCCUCGUAAACCACUGUCGGAUGGGACGAAAAGAGGUAUGAACCUCUGGGACGGUACCAUCAAAGGAAGGGUCGGCUAACUACGUGCCAGCAGCCGCGGUAAUACGUAGGACCCGAGCGUUGUCCGGAUUCACUGGGUAUAAAGGGUGCGUAGGCGGUCUUGUGCGUCAGAGGUGAAAUAUCCGGGCUUAACCCGGAGGGUGCCUUUGAUACGGCAGGACUUGAGUGCGAGAGAGGAUGAUGGAAUUCC